AGACACAUAUAUCAUAAAUAUAAUAAAUAUAAAUAAUAAUAAAUAAACAAAUAUAAUACAUAUAUAAAAUUGACUGGUGAAUAUAAUGACUAGAAUUGAUGGUUCAUGAAUUCUUCUAUGGAAUAGAAGACAUUUUCAAUAAGCAAACUUUUCACAAGCCUCUUAAAGGUCGCUCCACGAAGUGAUGUCAUGUGAUCGGGAAGUUUAUUAUACAUCUUAACACCAUUGAAGAUGUACGUGUUUUGAGUUCUAUUAAUGCGGUGGCUGGGAAUCACAAUUUUAUUUCUGGAUCGCGUAAGGUGGUCAUGUACAUUUGAGUGUUUUGGGAGUUCUUUCUUUCCAUGAACGUAGAGGAGACACUCGAGCAUGUAGCAGCAUGGGACGAAAGACCCUGAGUGCAUCCGACGACGCACCCCAGAGGAUAAUACCAUAGGUCAUUCGUCCAUGGAACUGAGCGUGAUAGGGAAGCACUGGUUGAAUGUAUCAGUCACUACCUUAUGGAAACCAUUACACGAUAACGGAGCCGACAUAUUUCUGAUGAAUUCCCAGUCUACAUUCUUCAAUCGCUCUCGAAAAUGGGAUUUCCGUCGUCUGUAAUUCCAAUCUUUGUGCCAGAUGAUCUGAAAGAUGGUGAUUCACCGUGAAUGCUUGAUAUGUUGAAGACCUCAUAUUCGUGAAAAAAUUGUCGAUACAGCUGCUCGAUUUCAGUGUUACACGUGAUGCCUCCUUGAAUAUAAUAUGUAAUCCAAAUGAUAUGACUAAUUCCUGCAAUUUUAAUUUCGCAUUAUUCAUUUCAUCGAAGUUUAUAUUAAAAUCGCCAGCGAUUACAACAUUUUGAUGUGGAUUUUUGAAGACUAUGUUCAAUGCUGUUUCUAGACGUUGCAUGAACAAAUCAUAAUCUCCAUGAGGAGGCCUAUAGAUACACAAAUAAUUUGUUUUUGUGGUCUUUUCUAGAACGCCACAAAUUUCUAUAUUUUUUUCGAUAGAUAGUUCAUUUAUUUCUGUAAUCGCUCUGCCGAGAAAGUCUUUUCUUGUUAGUAUCAGACUU
This is a long non-coding RNA of Harmonia axyridis, 1048 nucleotides long. RefSeq lists it as uncharacterized. The transcript has 4 exons. The record is from RefSeq and is a predicted model, not a curated record. Lineage: Eukaryota; Metazoa; Arthropoda; Insecta; Coleoptera; Coccinellidae.